RNAcentral lists this ribosomal RNA (253 nucleotides) under uncultured bacterium. RNAcentral describes it as "partial 16S ribosomal RNA". It matches the Rfam family "Bacterial small subunit ribosomal RNA", at positions 524 to 776 of the family's 1533-position model. The record is from RNAcentral.
UACAGUGGUCCCAAGCGUUGUUCGGAUUCAUUGGGCGUAAAGGGCGCGUAGGCGGGCUACCAAGUCUGUGGUGAAAUCCUCCAGCUCAACUGGAGAACGGCCGUGGAUACUGGGAGCCUCGAGGGAGAUAGGGGCAGGCGGAACUGAUGGUGGAGCGGUGAAAUGCGUUGAUAUCAUCAGGAACUCCGGUGGCGAAGGCGGCCUGCUGGAUCUCAUCUGACGCUGAGGCGCGAAAGCCAGGGGAGCAAACGGG